AUACGACCGCAAAAAUUUUUUGCGGUCGUAUAUUGGUACGACGUUGGCGUCGUCGUCGUCGUCCGAAGACACAUUGGUUUUCGCACUCUAACUUUAGUUUAAGUGAAUGGAUCUCUAUGAAAUUUUACCAUAAGGUUCAAUACCGCAAAAGGAAGGUUGGGAUUGAUUUUGGGGAUGAUGGUCCCAACCGUUUAGGAAUUAGGGGCCCAAAACAAGCAUUUUUCUAGUUUCGAAUAAUAACUUGUGUAUAAGUAUUUCGAUUGCUCUGAAAUUGUACGACAAUGUUUAAUACCACAAGGAGAAGGUUGGGAUUUAUUUUAGGGGUUAUGGGGCCAACAGUUUAGGAAUUAAGGGCCAAAAACAAGCAUUUUCUAGUUUCCAGACAAUAACUUGUGUGUAAGUGUAUGGGUCUCGCUGACAUUGUACCACAAGAUUCCAUAUCACAAAGGGAAGGCUAGGAUUGAGUUUGGGGUUAAUUACCCUAAUAUGUAGGAAUAAGGGGCCAAAAACAAGCAUUUUUCUAGUUUCAAGACAAUAACUUGUGUUUAAGUGUAUGGAUCUUUCUGAAAUUGUACUACAAGGUUCCAUACUACUAAGGAAAGGCUGGGAUUGAGUUUUGGGGUUAUUGCUCCAAGGGGGGUUUCAAAAAGUUUGGGGGGGGGGGGAUUUUUUUAGAGGAUUCAUAAUUUUUUUUCAAAAUUUUUCAAAUUUUGAAUUUUUGAAAAGUUUCAAGAAGAAAUCUUCAAUUGCACAGUAUUGCGCAAUAGAUUUGUAAGAUCUUGAACACAUUUAUUUUGUGUCAGAAAUCUAUAUUAUGUCAAAAAUUUUAUCACAAUCCAAAUUCAGAUAGUAUCAAGCUUGAAUAUUGUGUCCAAAUUUGUACCAACUGUUUAUGGUUCAACCUCUGCGGUCUUAUCAGGCUGUGCUCAGCGAAGCAUUUUAUUAUUUACUUGAAGAGGUAAAUAAUAAUAUACUUAUAUAAGUAAAUUUGUUAUAUUCAUAUUUUCUUAUAAAGUUUGAAUAAUCUCCCCUUAAUUUUCUCAAAAAAAUUUGCUUGUAUAUGUAAUUUUUUUUUACAAUCCCUAAAAUUCUCAAGUUUUGGGAUGUAAAAACACGCCUUAAACAAUUUUUCUCUGGUUAGCUCAUAAGUUUUUAUUAGAGUUCAAUGUUUCAUCUAGCAUGUCUAGUUAAUUCAACAGGGAAACUAAUUGCGCAAAGAUCUUAUGUAAUUGUGCAAGGCCUUCAAAAAUUGCCCCUUGGAGGCUUGUAAAUGAACAGUAAUUUUGGAAAAUAACAGACAAAUGAGAUUUUCAUGCAAUUACACAUCAAUAAUUAGUCCCCUACCGAGGAAGUCGAAGGGGACUUUAGGUUUGCACUCCGUCCGUCUGUCCAUCUGUCCAUCUGUCAGUCUGGCAAAUCAGCUUUCCACACUUUUUUUCUUCGUUCUUGAAGAUAUUGCUUUGUUAUUUAUUAUAUAGUUUUAUCAUGACAAGUUAUAGAUCAAGUUCGAAUUUUGUUCCGGUCUGAUGAUUUAGUCCAGAAUUAUGGACCAUAACUCUGGACCAUAUUUAAUGUUAGAGUACUAUGUUAAACCAUAUUUCUGUACAAAGGGAGAUAACUCAUUUUUUAAAAGAUAUUCUUUGUUAAAUUAUUUGAGGAAUUUUUUGACAGGUUUGUUUGUUAUUUAGUAUAAACUAAUUUUCUGAAUGCCAUAUAUCAUGUAUAUAUAAAAAAAAAUUAUGACGAGAAAUCCUUUUAUUAGAUAAUAAUCUAUUUUUAUUAAUGUAUAUAUUUCAAUACAUUACAUUGUGUAGAUAAAAGUUGUUAACAUUUUAUAGAUAAGUUAUAAAUCUAUAUUAGUUUGUGACAAAUGAAAGAAAAAAAUAUUUGGAACUAUUAAUUAUAUCUGAUUAUAAUUUGAAAAUAGAUAUACACUGUAUUACAUCAUAUCUAAUUCUAGAGAACUAUUAAUCAUAUCUAAUGUUUUUUUCGUCAUGCUUAUAAGAUAUUGAUUGAUAAUUGGUAUAUAGUUUUAUCGUGACAAGUUACAGAUCAAGUUCAAAUUUUUGUUUCGGUCUAAUAAUUUUGUGCAGAGUUAUGGUCCUUGGACUUGAAAAUUCACUCAUAUAAUCAGUUUUCAACAGUUUUUAGUCAUGCUUGAAGAUAUUGACAUGAUAUUUACUUUUUGUUUACACCAUGACAAGUUAUAGAACAAGUUAGCAUUUUGUUCCAGUAUAAUGAAUUUUUACCCGGUAGGGGACUAUGUAUUGCCAGGCAAUACUCUCAGAAUGCUUGUUAAUAAAGACAUAUGCAAAGGACAGACAAUUAAAAAUUCUAUUAGAGCAAAGAAGUCCUGAGAAAUUCAAGAAAAGAAGAUAGUAUGACUAUUUUACUUGUACAAGUAAAAAAAUCUUAAUGACUAAGGGACAUAACUAAGCCAAUAAAAUACACUUGUAUAAGUUUUUACUGAUAUAAGUAUAGUAAUAUUUACUUCUUUAAGUAAAUAAAAAUGACUUGUACAAGUAGUACCCCUGACUGUAUAUGCUCCCAUGUUUUUUCAAAUAAUAUGUGAUGAGUUUAUUAAUUACAAAUUUUUUUUUAAAUCAAAACAAUAUUAAAUAUAUUAAAUUUUUGUAGUAAACUGAAAAAAUGGCACUUUGAGUUUUUCUUUAUUUUGUGCCCUAUAAUUCAAUUGAAAAUAUGUACAGUGUCAGCUAUUAAAAUUUGUUGUCUUGAUCAACAAUGAAAUUGAUGAACAUUCAUUAAGCAUCCAAUGAAGAAAAAUGCAUCCAUUUCAGAAAAGCCUGUUGAUUUUCUGCUGUAUCCACAUUUCUAUUAUAUUCACAAUUUUUGAACUUAGGGCCACAUUUACAGUUAACUAUUUAGUGUAAAUAUUUGGUCCCUGUGCUGAAGAGAGUGUCUUUACCUCGAGCUCUAGCUCUAUGUGAGGAUUUAUUUGUGUGCUGUGUUAUAUGAUUUAUUUGUGUGCUGUGUUAUAUGAUUUUUAUAGUAUUAUCAUUUAACCUUUCAAAUAUUUACUUCUUGUAAAACAAUACCAGAUUUCACUUUAAACCCAUCCAAUAAAAAUUGACUUUUACAUCAGAUACUCCCUAGAUCUGAGAUAUGAUAAAUGUUCCUUCAUUGCUUGAAACUUGAUUCUCUUGAAUAUUUGUAUACUGUUGUAUGUCUUUUGGUCUUUUUUUUUCACCAUGGGGUUGUCAGUGUUUUUUUUUUUUACUUAUGAGUUUGAAUGUCCCUUUGGUAAAAUUCGCCUUUCUUUUUUAUUCUUGAUUUCCUUUCAUUUCUUGUGUAUGUUCACUGGUUGUACAAUGAUUAUAUGUACUAUGUAGAUAAAGAGUAUGUUGGCUCUGAUUAAUUCCAGUUUGCUUUGAUUCUUCAUUUAAUCAGAAUUUUGUGUAAUGUAAAUAUGAUGUAUUGUAUUCAUAUCAGUUGUUUAUUAAAAUAAUAUUUGUAUUUUUGCUGUUAAUAUGUUUGAAAUUAUACUUUAAUAAAAAAUAGUUUCCAUGCAAAA
Long non-coding RNA from Mytilus californianus (California mussel), 3532 nucleotides. RefSeq lists it as uncharacterized. The record is from RefSeq and is a predicted model, not a curated record. The transcript is spliced from 2 exons. Lineage: Eukaryota; Metazoa; Mollusca; Bivalvia; Mytilida; Mytilidae.